GACGAACGCUGGCGGCGUGCUUAACACAUGCAAGUCGAACGGAAAGGCCCUGCUUUUGUGGGGUGCUCGAGUGGCGAACGGGUGAGUAACACGUGAGUAACCUGCCCUUGACUUUGGGAUAACUUCAGGAAACUGGAGCUAAUACCGGAUAGGAGCUCCUGCUGCAUGGUGGGGGUUGGAAAGUUUCGGCGGUUGGGGAUGGACUCGCGGCUUAUCAGCUUGUUGGUGGGGUAGUGGCUUACCAAGGCUUUGACGGGUAGCCGGCCUGAGAGGGUGACCGGCCACAUUGGGACUGAGAUACGGCCCAGACUCCUACGGGAGGCAGCAGUGGGGAAUAUUGCACAAUGGGCGGAAGCCUGAUGCAGCAACGCCGCGUGCGGGAUGACGGCCUUCGGGUUGUAAACCGCUUUCGCCUGUGACGAAGCGUGAGUGACGGUAAUGGGUAAAGAAGCACCGGCUAACUACGU
RNAcentral lists this ribosomal RNA (467 nucleotides) under uncultured bacterium. Its description in RNAcentral is "partial 16S ribosomal RNA". It matches the Rfam family "Bacterial small subunit ribosomal RNA", at positions 28 to 506 of the family's 1533-position model. The record is from RNAcentral.